Long non-coding RNA from Cyprinus carpio (common carp), 810 nucleotides. RefSeq lists it as uncharacterized. NCBI's taxonomy places the organism in Eukaryota, Metazoa, Chordata, Actinopteri, Cypriniformes, Cyprinidae. The record is from RefSeq and is a predicted model, not a curated record.
GUUGCAUAAAUGUUGUCACAUUGUCGUCAUGGGAAUUUACUGGACGAAGCCGGUUUACUCACAUCCAUCCAGUAUUUAAGACACAGUACAACGGAUGCCAGAGUAAAUACAGACUGUGACAUUGUAAUAACUGGACAAGAACAUCUGUGCAAGGAUGAAGACAUUACAUGCAAUGCUACUGAUGGUGUUUGUUGCAUCAGUCUUUUCUAAACCAUUUGAUUUGCGCAGAAGAUUUGAUUUAUCAGACACUGUGCGAUCUAGAUUCAGCUCAGAGGAAAAUGAUUCAAGCAGAGAAGACAGGGAGGAUUCACAGUCAGAUGAGAAAUCUGAAUCAAACGAGUCUAAAUCAAGUGACUCUGAAUCUUCGGAGGAAGUUGUGUCAAGCACAUUCCCUCCAGCUAGCACAACAAGUCCACUGACUGCUGGCAAAACAACAACAACAUUAGCUACCACGACACAAGACACCACAAACUGUGUUACUGCAACAAGGGGUGAUGGUAAUGUUAUAAUAUCUUGCGGUCCUUAAUCAUCACUUGAAUGUUUAAAGGUGUACAAUUCAUUACAUUUUACAUUAUAAUGUAAUGUUUAUGUGCUGAUAAUGAAGGUCUUGACACUGAAUGAUGUAACUUUUAAAAUUAUUUACUUUUAAACUGCAUGUCACUAUUAUGGUUUUAAGUGCUUAUUUGGAAUUUUAAAAAUCUUUCAAAUGCAUUCAAAUUAUUUAACACCCUUUAACACACUGUUUUCCAAUGUAAUUUAUUAUUGGUAGUACUUUGUCUGAAGCAAUAAAAUGUGAUUUAUCAGCAUAUU